CUAGUUGGUGGGGUAAUGGCUCACCAAGGCGACGAUGCGUAGCCGACCUGAGAGGGUGAUCGGCCACACUGGGACUGAGACACGGCCCAGACUCCUACGGGAGGCAGCAGUAGGGAAUCUUCCGCAAUGGACGAAAGUCUGACGGAGCAACGCCGCGUGAGUGAUGAAGGUUUUCGGAUCGUAAAGCUCUGUUGUUAGGGAAGAACAAGUGCGAGAGUAACUGCUCGCACCUUGACGGUACCUAACCAGAAAGCCACGGCUAACUACGUGCCAGCAGCCGCGGUAAUACGUAGGUGGCAAGCGUUGUCCGGAAUUAUUGGGCGUAAAGGGCUCGCAGGCGGUUUCUUAAGUCUGAUGUGAAAGCCCCCGGCUCAACCGGGGAGGGUCAUUGGAAACUGGGAAACUUGAGUGCAGAAGAGGAGAGUGGAAUUCCACGUGUAGCGGUGAAAUGCGUAGAGAUGUGGAGGAACACCAGUGGCGAAGGCGACUCUCUGGUCUGUAACUGACGCUGAGGAGCGAAAGCGUGGGGAGCGAACAGGAUUAGAUACCCUGGUAGUCCACGCCGUAAACGAUGAGUGCUAAGUGUUAGGGGGUUUCCGCCCCUUAGUGCUGCAGCUAACGCAUUAAGCACUCCGCCUGGGGAGUACGGUCGCAAGACUGAAACUCAAAGGAAUUGACGGGGGCCCGCACAAGCGGUGGAGCAUGUGGUU
Molecule: ribosomal RNA, 710 nt
Filed under: Bacillus pumilus
Lineage: Bacteria; Bacillati; Bacillota; Bacilli; Caryophanales; Bacillaceae
Description: bacterial SSU rRNA
Rfam family: Bacterial small subunit ribosomal RNA
Source: RNAcentral